UAGAUACCCUAUUAUUUAAAAUAAAAUAAGUUAUUUAAAGUAGUAAUAGUUAAGAUCUUGAAACUUAAAAAAUUUGGCGGUAUUUUAGUCUAUUCAGAGGAGCCUGUUUUAUAAUCGAUAAUCCACGAUGAACCUUACUUAAAUUAGUUGACAGUUUAUAUACCGUUGUUAUAGAAUAUUUUAUAAGAACAAUAAUUUUCAAUAUAUUUUAUUAAAUUAUAUAUCAGAUCAAGGUGUAGCUAAUAUUUGAGAAAAAAUGGGCUACAAUAAUUUUAGUUAUAUGGAUAUAAAAAUGAAACCUUUAUUGAAAGUGGAUUUGAUAGUAAAUUUAUAGAGAUUAAUAUAUUGAUUAUAGCUCUAAAAUAUGUACACAUCGCCCGUCGCUCU
This 387-nucleotide ribosomal RNA is filed under the name Syringogaster rufa. RNAcentral's name for it is "partial 12S ribosomal RNA". The record is from RNAcentral. Lineage: Eukaryota; Metazoa; Arthropoda; Insecta; Diptera; Syringogastridae.